UUGAACGCUGGCGGCAUGCUUUACACAUGCAAGUCGAACGGCAGCGCGGGCUUCGGCCUGGCGGCGAGUGGCGAACGGGUGAGUAAUGCAUCGGAACGUGCCCAGUAGUGGGGGAUAGCCCGGCGAAAGCCGGAUUAAUACCGCAUACGACCUGAGGGCGAAAGCGGGGGACCGAAAGGCCUCGCGCUAUUGGAGCGGCCGAUGUCGGAUUAGCUAGUUGGUGGGGUAAAGGCUUACCAAGGCGACGAUCCGUAGCUGGUCUGAGAGGACGACCAGCCACACUGGGACUGAGACACGGCCCAGACUCCUACGGGAGGCAGCAGUGGGGAAUUUUGGACAAUGGGGGCAACCCUGAUCCAGCCAUGCCGCGUGCGGGAAGAAGGCCUUCGGGUUGUAAACCGCUUUUGUUCGGGAAGAAAUCCUCUGGGCUAAUACCCCGGGGGGAUGACGGUACCGGAAGAAUAAGCACCGGCUAACUACGUG
This 483-nucleotide ribosomal RNA is filed under the name uncultured bacterium. RNAcentral describes it as "partial 16S ribosomal RNA". It matches the Rfam family "Bacterial small subunit ribosomal RNA", at positions 29 to 507 of the family's 1533-position model. The record is from RNAcentral.